Molecule: ribosomal RNA, 565 nt
Filed under: uncultured bacterium
Lineage: Bacteria
Description: bacterial SSU rRNA
Rfam family: Bacterial small subunit ribosomal RNA
Source: RNAcentral
CCUACGGGAGGCAGCAGUGAGGAAUUUUCCGCAAUGGGCUAACGCCUGACGGAGCAAUGCCGCGUGGAGGAGGAAGGCCCGUGGGUCGUAAACUCCUUUUCUCAGAGAAGAAGAUCUGACGGUAUCUGAGGAAUAAGCAUCGGCUAACUCUGUGCCAGCAGCCGCGGUAAUACAGGGGAUGCAAGCGUUAUCCGGAAUUAUUGGGCGUAAAGCGUCCUGAGGUGGCUUACCCAGUCGACUGUGAAAGCUCAAGGCUCAACCUUGAAACGGCAGUCGAAACUUGUAAGCUUGAGUACGGUAGGGGCAGAGGGAAUUCCCGGAGGAGAGGUGAAAUUCGUAGAUAUCGGGAGGAAGGCCAAAGGCGAAAGCACUCUGCUGGGCCGAUUACUGACACUGACAGACGAAAGCUAGGGGAGCGAAAGGGAUUAGAUACCCCUGUAGUCCUAGCCGUAAACGAUGGAUACUAAGUGUUGCGCGACUCAACUCGUGCAGUGCUGCAGCUAACGCGGUAAGUAUCCCGCCUGGGGAGUAUGCUCGCAAGAGUGAAACUCAAAGGAAUUGACGG